This 253-nucleotide ribosomal RNA is filed under the name uncultured bacterium. RNAcentral describes it as "partial 16S ribosomal RNA". It matches the Rfam family "Bacterial small subunit ribosomal RNA", at positions 524 to 776 of the family's 1533-position model. The record is from RNAcentral.
UACGAACCGUGCGAACGUUGUUCGGAAUCACUGGGCUUAAAGGGCGCGUAGGCGGCUUGCCAAGUCGGGGGUGAAAUCCGGCAGCUUAACUGUCGAAGUGCCUUCGAUACUGGCAAGCUCGAGGGAGGUAGGGGUCUGUGGAACUUCUGGUGGAGCGGUGAAAUGCGUUGAUAUCAGAAGGAACGCCGGUGGCGAAAGCGACGGACUGGACCUCCUCUGACGCUGAGGCGCGAAAGCUAGGGGAGCAAACGGG